RNAcentral lists this long non-coding RNA (1347 nucleotides) under Oryza sativa (Asian cultivated rice). Its description in RNAcentral is "long non-coding RNA (OSAT_LNC000458)". The record is from RNAcentral. Lineage: Eukaryota; Viridiplantae; Streptophyta; Magnoliopsida; Poales; Poaceae.
GCGCCCAAAAAAAGCGUCCUCCUCGCCGUUGGCUUUCUCGGGCGAGCCGCGUCUCCCUCGUCUCCCUCCCCCCGCACGCCCGCACCCAAUUUUCCUCCCCCCAAUCUCUCUCUCUCUCGCUCGUCCGCUCGAAUCCUCCACCGAUCGGAUCCCCCGCGGCUCGUCGGCGGCGAUCCUCCGGCGGCGCCGCGCCCAGGCGUCAGGUCAGGAUCGGAUCGCUUCUUGCCUGUAUCUCGCGUCGGUUUCUUUUCUUUUUAUUUAUCUUUUUUUUUCUUUUGCGUUUCUCCUGUCGAUGGGUCGCGCGUGGAAUCGUUCUAGGAGCCUUUUUUUUUUGUGUUCGAUCGCUUGUCGGGCACCAAAAAAGCGUCGGAUUUCUCCACGUCUUCUCUCCCCCCAAUUUCUGGGUUGAAUCGCCAUUGGGGCACGUCGCGCCGCUGGGUGGGUUGCUGCUGCUUGCCCUUGGAAUCUUCCCUUCGCUUCGCUUCCGGCCGUCGCCGAAUUUUGGCCCGGGUCGUACGGCGUCGCCACCGCCUUUUCCUUUCCCCCACCUCUGCGCCAUUUUUGUUUCCUUGCGUUCUAAUCGUACUACAGUACUAGUAGCAGCAGCAGCAGUAGCGUACAAAAUUUCCUCUAUUUUUUUUAAUUUUUCCUCUGCCAAUCUCGCGCAUUUUGCCCCCAGCAGCAACGAGGCCCCGCCAUUUGCCGGCUAGCCGUUGGGAUCGCUGCAACGGCCACAUUUUAUUUUUAUUUUUUACCGCGGUUUUUUUACCCGCUCCUCCGAUCCCCAUUUGCAUUAGUUUAUCAUCAUCAUCAGCAGCAGCAGUGUCCUUCUCCUGCUGCUGCUGCUGCUGCUGCUUAACCAAACAGUAGCAGGAGCGUACUUUAAUAAUGAGUAGUAGUAGUAGUGCUGCUGCUACUAAUCAUCGUAAUUAAUCCAGUGGUUAACCUUCGUCUCCGGGCACAUUUAAUCCUCUCUUCUGUGGUAGGAGGCAGCUUUGGCUUGGCUUGGCUUCGCCAUUACUGGGCGUGGAGUUCUCGUGAGGUGGAGACCCAAGCCUCACCCGAAAGAGACGCUCCAAUUCCUAGGCGUAAAUAUUACUGCCAGCCUCGCUGCAGCAGCAGCCCGAAAAAAGAAUUCCCCAAUUCCGCCUCCUCCUCCUCCUCCACUCCACAUUUGUUUUUCUUUUAAUUUUUUUCUUUCUGGCUCUGUCUGUCGCUUUCUCCUUCGCCAACCGACUCAAUCCCUUCGAUCUGGUUCGUGCUCUGCGGCGACUCUGAGCUCGGGGAUUUGAUUUGUGUUUUUUUGUUGGAUGAUUUGUGGGCUGACGAUUUUGUUUGCAUUGGCAG